AACGCUGGCGGCGUGCCUAAUACAUGCAAGUCGAACGGCUUUUCUAUGGAAGCUUGCUUCCACUGAGAAGAUAGUGGCGAACGGGUGAGUAACACGUGGGUAACCUGCCCAUAAGAGGGGGAUAACAUCCGGAAACGGGUGCUAAUACCGCAUAGUUUUCUUGAUUGCAUGAUUGAGAAAGGAAAGACGGCCUUUGUGCUGUCGCUUAUGGAUGGACCCGCGGCGUAUUAGUUAGUUGGUGAGGUAACGGCUCACCAAGACGAUGAUACGUAGCCGACCUGAGAGGGUGAUCGGCCACCAUUGGGACUGAGACACGGCCCAAACUCCUACGGGAGGCAGCAGUAGGGAAUCUUCCGCAAUGGACGAAAGUCUGACGGAGCAACGCCGCGUGAGUGAAGAAAAGGUUUUCGGAUCGUAAAACUCUGUUGUCAGAGAAGAACAAGUUGGAGAGUAACUGCUCCAGCCUUGACGGUAUCUGACCAGAAAGCCACGGCUAACUACGUGCCAGCAGCGGC
This 515-nucleotide ribosomal RNA is filed under the name uncultured bacterium. RNAcentral's name for it is "bacterial SSU rRNA". It matches the Rfam family "Bacterial small subunit ribosomal RNA", at positions 32 to 518 of the family's 1533-position model. The record is from RNAcentral.